GACGAACGCUGGCGGCGUGCUUUACACAUGCAAGUUGAACGGUGAAGGUGGAGCUUGCUCCGCCGGAUCAGUGGCGAACGGGUGAGUAACACGUGGGCAACCUGCCCCUAACUUUGGGAUAACUACUCGAAAGAGUAGCUAAUACCGGAUACGAAGUCUGUAGGCAUCUACGGAUUUGGAAAGUUUUUCGGUUAGGGACGGGCCCGCGGCCUAUCAGCUUGUUGGUGAGGUAGUGGCUCACCAAGGCGACGACGGGUAGCCGGCCUGAGAGGGCGACCGGCCACACUGGGACUGAGACACGGCCCAGACUCCUACGGGAGGCAGCAGUGGGGAAUAUUGCGCAAUGGGGGAAAGCCUGACGCAGCAACGCCGCGUGCGGGAUGAAGGCCUUCGGGUUGUAAACCGCUUUCAGCAGGGAAGAAGCGAAAGUGACGGUACCUGCAGAAGAAGCACCGGCUAACUACGUGCCAGCCGCUGCCGUAA
Molecule: ribosomal RNA, 483 nt
Filed under: uncultured bacterium
Lineage: Bacteria
Description: partial 16S ribosomal RNA
Rfam family: Bacterial small subunit ribosomal RNA
Source: RNAcentral